UGUUAAUCAUGCUUAUAUUAUUCACAAUACAAAAUGAUCAUUAAGCAUUAUAUUUUUAUAUGCUGGCAUUUCAAAAACUUGCACAUUUGUUUUUCCAGACAGUUGAUUUACUUAGUGUCAACUCAUUUAUGGUCAUUUCUCCAUUAAUGUUGCUCAGCAUCACGGCUGUACACAUGGCAUGAGGCUCUAAGCGGUGAAGGAAACUCAGUUCAUUCACACAUGCAAUCAGGCAGCUAUCAGAUCCAAGGACAAGCAAAUAAAAGCGGCUUGCUGUCCUGUACACUUUAUCAAGUGCUCUCUUUCAGCAAUCACAAACAAGUCCAACUCCAAACUCACCUACACCUACCUAUUCAGAGAAUGAGCUUCAGUUAUUGAAACACUGCGGCAGGCCUGACUGCUUCACUAUGUUUGUCAACACUUCUUGGAAAUUAGGUUUUGGGUUAGUGACCUCGUCCCCACGUCACUGCGGAUCAAUACUUCUCUAAGCUUAUCACAAAACUGUUUGACUAAACCCCCUCUAGGUACAUAUAUGGAGGUUAAAGGAGAGCAGAAUGACCAGUCAUGGCAAACUUUGUUCAGAGACUGGACUUGUUUCUCGUUUUCUUGCCGACAGCGGGACCCUGGAAGAGACUAUGUGAGGAUAUGACAGUGUGUGAAUGUAUUAUACAUAGUGACAUAGUGUUUGUGUUUUCUGAAGAGUUUCUUUUUCAGUGUUCUUACUAUUCCAACAGCAUGGAGGAACAUGUGGAUCAGCCAUCUUUACAAAACAGGGUCUGUGGUAAGUCAACUUGUCCACAGAAACUCUGAGAAUGGAUUUAUCCAAGAAAAAAAAAAAAAAAAUCAUAAUUUGAGCUUAUGUAUAGUAAUAUUUAAGGCUGCAUCAUUUUUUCAGUAGGAAAUUUAUAAACAAAAUGGUUGCUUUUUACAAUUUACAGAAGAAUGUUUUGUGAAAUGCAAACUAAAGGCCCAACGAGUAUUCACACACCAGAAGUGACUAAACUUAAUGUUUUGACUAAGAUUUACAUAAAACUAAAUCUUUGUAAAAGAACGAUGGAGAUCCAGCAUAAUUAUCAAGUGUCGGUCAGUAGUUUUAAACACAUAACAGAGUUCAAGAAGAGACAUUUCCAACCAUUUUCAAUCCACUGACCUCUUAAUGGAUUAAAACAUUUUUUUUUUAAAGAAAUUAAUACUUUUGCUCAGCAAGGUGGCAUGAAACUGAUGCGACACUAAAAUAACAACCUUUACUAUCACUGAGAUACAAUUAUACUUUUAUGACUUUUUCAUUUCAAUUUUAGUUAGAAUUUUACUCAUUUUGUUGUAUUUGUUUUUAUGUUUGUUUUUUUAAUAUCUACAUAGUUUUUAUGAAUUUUUAUUUCAGUUUUAGUUAAUUUAGUACACCAAGAUAGGCUUGUCAUCUAGCAGAAAUAAAAUAUUCAGAUUAUGAUUUUUUUUUUUUAAUGUUUGAAAAUUAUAUAUUUAAAAUAUUAAAGUUGUUUUUUUUUUCAAGUUAAAGUUUAUUUUAUUUCAAGAAAUAUUUUUUUCAUAUAUAUGGGUUUAGUUUUAAUUAGAAUAACCCCAAAAAAAUGUUAUAAGUGCUGUUCUUCCGAACUUUCUAUUCAUCAAAUAAUCCUAAAAAAAAAAAUGCAUCAGGGUUUCCACUAAAAUAUUAAGCAGCACAAUGGUUUUCAACCAGUUUUCUUGAGCAGCAAAUCAGCAUAUUAGAAUGAUUUCUGAAGGAUCAUGUGACACUGAAGACUGGAGUAAUGAUGCUGACAAUUCAGCUUUGCUUCACAGGAAUACAUUUCAUUUUAAAUAUAUAGACAACAGUUAUUCAAAAUUUUAUUACAGUUUUAUUGUAUUUUGAUCAUGUAAAUGCAGCCUUUAUGAGCAUAAUACACUUUCAAAACAUCUUCCUGGCCUCAAGCAUUUGAACGUAAGUGUAGCCUACUUUUUGUGCUGCAAAUUAUUUACAGACUUCAUGAUGCAUUAUUGCACAUGACAUUUUAAUAUCCCAUAUUAAAAUAUGGGAAUGGCAAUGGAACCGUUAGCAGAACUUUAAAUUCUGAAGGUGUGGUUUAGAUUAGGCUACUUUUUGUUACAACAUAAAUUUUUUAAGAAAAUUCACAAAAAAAAAUGAGGAAUCUAGGGCACAAACGAUAGCUUAAAAGAGACCAUCUGCACUGUUCCCAUCACCGUCCGCUCCACUGACCGACAUGUAAACAGAAGACGAUAAUCGAUAACAUUUGCACAUGAUCAGACUGUGAACCGGCAGCUGACUGAAAGAGAAGAGGGAAAAGGGGCUGACCUACCCUGGCCUUGUUCAUUUAAGUGCAAGUAACUGUUCAGAGGUUUUUUGAGGGUUCAGAUGAGAUUACAACUCUCUGAAACUAGAAACGUAAGAAGACGAACUCAAUAUUAUGAGCGUUUACAAAAAAAAUACUGCAUCAGCGGUCUUUUUUUUUUUUUUUUUUUAACCAUAGUAUAUAGUGUUUACCUGUCACAGGUAACAAAACAACUUCUGGAAUUCGCAAACACAAGGCUAUAAACCUACGAUGUUCAUAAUAAAUGUUUUAAGACUAAACUAGUGAUUGAAUCACCAUUCAUUUUCUCUCCCGUCUGUUUGUUGUCCUCCUGAGCUGUGGAGUGUGACAAUGGUGUUUGUAUCCUGUGUUGUCAAACGCCAUUAUCACACUAAAUAGCCACGGUGAGACCUCACGACCUCCUCAGCCAAUCAGCAAGCAGAGAAACAGAUGAUGUCACAGGCUGUGGGAUUCUAUUGUGGGAAUAUGAAACACCUUUGUGUCGUUAAAUGAAUACGUAUGAGUUUGGGUAAGGUUGAUAAAUUGGCAUCUGCCGAAAAUAGAUGUAAUAGAUCAUGUCUGCCAUAUGUUCCUACUGACCCAGUUGCUGUUAUUAGAUAUGUUAAUAAGUUCAGUAUGCAUGUCAUGUGACGCUUCCUUCGUAUUGUAUUUGGUAUUAGCGUGGUAUCUUCAUGACAAUAAAAUCUACAAAGAUUUGAAGUGUU
Molecule: long non-coding RNA, 3025 nt
Organism: Ctenopharyngodon idella (grass carp)
Lineage: Eukaryota; Metazoa; Chordata; Actinopteri; Cypriniformes; Xenocyprididae
Exons: 2
Source: RefSeq, a predicted model, not a curated record